AUUGUGCAUACUGGAUAAAGCCGGUGGUAAAAACAGGUGAUAUGCCACCUCUCCAACCUUGUCCGAAAUCUCAAAUGGACCAACAUACUUAUAGCUCAAUUUACCAUGAACCCUAAAUCUCAUCACUCCUCUAGUGGGUGACACUCAAGAAAACAUGAUCCCCAAUUUAAAAUUUCAGUUUUCUCCUUCUAUUAUCAGCAUAAGUCUUUUGACGACUCUGAGCUGUACGAAGUCGUUCUUUGGUCACUUGCACCUUAUCUAUGGUCUAUUGCACUAUUUCUGGGCCUAAUAAUUUUCUCUCGUCCACAUCAUUCCAACAAAUAGGAGAUUCAUGUUAAAACAUUCCAGGUCUAAGCCCAACCAAGUAAUCAUCAACCGUUAAUGCUAAAUUUAAGAUGCCCAAGUUCUUCCAAAACUUGUCAACAAUAGAAGAACCCACUGGUGAAAAUUAUAUAGCUACCUCUAGAUCAUCCAUAGAAUUAACAACAUUCUCCUCUACUAGAAACUAACUCAAAUGUUCCAUCAUAAUACCUUUUAGAUCAAAUAUUAAUGUCCUUAACCAGUUUCAAAAUAACUCAAACCACCACACUUCCGCUGCGCACUCUGAUUUAAUCCUUUAAAUACUCUAAAGCCUCUAAAUAAUUUAUGACCGAAAUAUCACUUUGCUUUAGGAGUAAGAAAAUCCAAAUUUCAAAACUUUAAUUGAGCAGAACCUCCAGAUCUCUCUGUCCUCAAUUUAUGUAGAG
RNAcentral lists this long non-coding RNA (746 nucleotides) under Phoenix dactylifera (date palm). RNAcentral's name for it is "long non-coding RNA (PDAC_LNC018373)". Lineage: Eukaryota; Viridiplantae; Streptophyta; Magnoliopsida; Arecales; Arecaceae. The record is from RNAcentral.